AGAUAUCAAAUAAAAUUUUAUAAAAUUGUUAUGACACAUAAAUUAUUCUCAAACAACUCCAGGCUCCAGUAAUUUCAUAUUCUUUAAAAACAAAUAUUUAAACAACCCCAGGCUCCAGUAAAUUCAUAUCUUUUAAAAACAAAUAUUUAACUACUUAUAAUAUUAUAAUAUUGUAACACAAAAGUGUAAGAAAGGAAAAGAAAUUAAUACAAAUUAAAAAUAUUUUUGAGCGUUCAUCUUAUAACAAAACACCAAUAUUAUAAGACUUUUCAAUAAACACCAACAAAAAUCAUCGCAUCUCCUACGAACAUAAAAUCAGACAUAUGUGGAGAGAUUUGUUUAGCCGGCUCUUGCUAUGUCUCUCCCUCGUAAUCAAUGCAUGUUCCCUCUGUGUUGAUUUAGGUCGGUGUGAGCCCUGCAUGAACCUAAAGUCGCUUAGGUUUUUUGGUCAAUCUUAAAAUAUACUAUAAAUAUACAGAAAACCUAGUGACACCGUUUAUCUGAUGAGAACGUGAUGGAUAGGCUGUUUGUGACAAAACAGUCCAUUUUCCAAAUCUGCAUAACCAUGUGCUUGCUAGGAUGAAUGCUGCAAAUUAAGAAGCCAAGAAUUAGCCCUAUUAUUAAGGACUACUACUUGUUUAAGCAUCGUGUUGUAAAAUUAAUGCAACAUUUUUGAGCGCGCAUAUCUUUAACAUCCUGUCAUUAUUUUAACCGAUGUAUAAACAUUGAUAUCAUUACCGACGGAGAAACAUUUUUAAAAAACGUGGACAUCAACACAAAUUAAACUUUUUGGUUUUUGGAAGAUCCACACAUUAAACUUUAUCUAGCAUCAAAUGAUAACAGUGGGUGCCGGGUGGCAUCAUUUUGUCAAUUGUCACAGACAUAGAAAAGAAACAUAUCUCUGUCAUAUAUUCUUUC
This 918-nucleotide long non-coding RNA is filed under the name Lathyrus oleraceus (garden pea). RNAcentral's name for it is "Pisum sativum (pea) long non-coding RNA (PSAT_LNC018106)". Lineage: Eukaryota; Viridiplantae; Streptophyta; Magnoliopsida; Fabales; Fabaceae. The record is from RNAcentral.